Molecule: ribosomal RNA, 305 nt
Filed under: uncultured bacterium
Lineage: Bacteria
Description: bacterial SSU rRNA
Rfam family: Bacterial small subunit ribosomal RNA
Source: RNAcentral
UAUGUCCUACGGGAGGCAGCAGUGAGGAAUAUUGGUCAAUGGGCUUACGCCUGAACCAGCCAAGUCGCGUGAGGGAAGACUGCCCUAUGGGUUGUAAACCUCUUUUGUCAGGGAGCAAUUGGCGCUACGUGUAGCGUUAUCGAGAGUACCUGAAGAAAAAGCAUCGGCUAACUCCGUGCCAGCAGCCGCGGUAAUACGGAGGAUGCGAGCGUUAUCCGGAUUUAUUGGGUUUAAAGGGUGCGUAGGCGGUCGGAUAAGUUAGAGGUGAAAUCCCGAGGCUCAACUUCGGAAUUGCCUCUGAUACU